This 32-nucleotide non-coding RNA is filed under the name Mus musculus (house mouse). Lineage: Eukaryota; Metazoa; Chordata; Mammalia; Rodentia; Muridae. The record is from RNAcentral.
UGGUCUUGUGAUGUCCUCAACCCCUUUGGUUC